This 434-nucleotide ribosomal RNA is filed under the name Salmonella enterica subsp. enterica. RNAcentral's name for it is "bacterial SSU rRNA". It matches the Rfam family "Bacterial small subunit ribosomal RNA", at positions 338 to 789 of the family's 1533-position model. The record is from RNAcentral. Lineage: Bacteria; Pseudomonadati; Pseudomonadota; Gammaproteobacteria; Enterobacterales; Enterobacteriaceae.
CCUACGGGAGGCAGCAGUCGGGAAUAUUGCGCAAUGGAGGAAACUCUGACGCAGUGACGCCGCGUGUAGGAAGAAGGUUUUCGGAUUGUAAACUACUGUCGUAAGGGAAGAUAAUGACAGUACCUUAGGAGGAAGCUCCGGCUAACUACGUGCCAGCAGCCGCGGUAAUACGUAGGGAGCAAGCGUUAUCCGGAAUUACUGGGUGUAAAGGGAGCGUAGGCGGGAUGGUAAGUUAGGUGUGAAAUGCGGAGGCUCAACCUCCGAGCUGCACUUAAAACUGCUGUUCUUGAGUGAAGUAGAGGUUGGCGGAAUUCCCAGUGUAGCGGUGAAAUGCGUAGAUAUUGGGAGGAACAUCAGUGGCGAAGGCGGCCAACUGGGCUUUUACUGACGCUGAGGCUCGAAAGCGUGGGGAGCAAACAGGAUUAGAUACCCUG